GAACACCUUUCAGGAUCCACAGCAACGCAGACAACUCCAGAAUCCCGGCCUCUGCUUGGAACGGAACAGUGUCAUGGCGGAGACGACGGCCUUUGUCUUGCUGGGUGUGAAAACAUCCGCUGUGCUGGCUCCACUGCGGCAGAAUCAAGUUUAAAGGAAAAAAAGUGAUUAAAGUCAGCUUUGUGCCUCUGUGGUGUGGAAGACCCCCAAACCCCAAGUAGCCGAGUCCCAGGGUCCGAGGAAGGGCUCAUAGUUGGAGCAGCCUAGGCUGUAAUCCUGGCACUUGCGCCUUCGGUUGCUG
This 301-nucleotide long non-coding RNA is filed under the name Homo sapiens (human). RNAcentral's name for it is "non-protein coding LINC01572:11". Lineage: Eukaryota; Metazoa; Chordata; Mammalia; Primates; Hominidae. The record is from RNAcentral.